This 448-nucleotide ribosomal RNA is filed under the name uncultured bacterium. RNAcentral describes it as "bacterial SSU rRNA". It matches the Rfam family "Bacterial small subunit ribosomal RNA", at positions 355 to 825 of the family's 1533-position model. The record is from RNAcentral.
UGGGGAAUCUUGCGCAAUGGGCGCAAGCCUGAUCCAGCCAUGCCGCGUGGAUGAUGAAGGCCUUAGGGUUGUAAAAUCCUUUUCGCCGAGGACGAUAAUGACGGUACUCGGAGAAGAAGCUCCGGCUAACUUCGUGCCAGCAGCCGCGGUAAUACGAAGGGGGCUAGCGUUGUUCGGAUUUACUGGGCGUAAAGCGCGUGUAGGCGGGUCGUUAAGUUGGGGGUGAAAUCCCGAGGCUCAACCUCGGAACUGCCUUCAAAACUGGCGACCUGGACCUAAGUAGAGGCAAGUGGAAUUGCGAGUGUAGAGGUGAAAUUCGUAGAUAUUCGCAGGAACACCAGUGGCGAAGGCGACUUGCUGGACUUAUGGUGACGCUGAGACGCGAAAGCGUGGGGAGCAAACAGGAUUAGAUACCCCUGUAGUCCCUGAGCGGGCUGGCAAGGCGCAU